RNAcentral lists this transfer RNA (77 nucleotides) under Candidatus Peregrinibacteria bacterium RIFCSPLOWO2_01_FULL_48_20. Its description in RNAcentral is "tRNA-Val". It matches the Rfam family "tRNA". Rfam says of the family: Transfer RNA (tRNA) molecules are approximately 80 nucleotides in length. Their secondary structure includes four short double-helical elements and three loops (D, anti-codon, and T loops). Further hydrogen bonds mediate the characteristic L-shaped molecular structure. tRNAs have two regions of fundamental functional importance: the anti-codon, which is responsible for specific mRNA codon recognition, and the 3' end, to which the tRNAs corresponding amino acid is attached (by aminoacyl-tRNA synthetases). tRNAs cope with the degeneracy of the genetic code in two manners: having more than one tRNA (with a specific anti-codon) for a particular amino acid; and 'wobble' base-pairing, i.e. permitting non-standard base-pairing at the 3rd anti-codon position. RNAcentral also lists the same sequence under 1 other name. The record is from RNAcentral. Lineage: Bacteria; Candidatus Peregrinibacteriota.
GGGCAAUUAGCUCAGUUGGUUAGAGCGCACGAUUCACAUUCGUGAGGUCACUGGUUCGAAUCCAGUAUUGCCCACCA